GAUAGAAUUCAAAACAAACAUUAUCAUGUAUUUUUUUCGGGAUUUCUGCGUAUUUAAAAUGCAGUUUUAAAAAGUGACAAGUGAUCAAAACAAUAAUGAAGGACUCCUGGUGGAAUUUUUCGGUGCAGACUGUGGAGCUAUGUAAUGUUAUUUCCAGGGCUCACAAUCAGAAUGAUGGCAGCAAUUUUCGAUGGAGUUAAAACCUUGGAAUGCUGAGGGAAUUGGUGAGCUUCCGGCAGUUUUUGGAACCAUAAAAAAAUGGACGAGCAGCUGAUGUCUAAAUCACAAAAGGCCGUCCCGUGCACUUUUGGAUUUAAUUCUGCGUGGCCAAGGACCGAUAGAGCAGUGUUUGAAAAUUUCACCUCGACUUGGAACCACAGGAUGAGCUGAAAAUGGAUUCCCCUCUGUAUACCAGCUGCAAUUGGGUACUAAUUUUCCCAAUCAUUAACCUAGGAUGGCGCCCAAAGAAUUGUUGCCGAAUGAAGACGAUAGUCCGAAACUGGAACUGAUCAAGGCAUAAGGCUUGGUAAAGUUGGAGAAGCAAAAGGACAUAUGAGCUAGCUUGAUAGCUUCAUCUCUCAGCUGAAGCCUAAAUGAUGCAGGAUUUUGGUAAUGUUUACUGUGCCCUUGUUGGCUUCAUAUAGUGAGACUGAAAACCAGGGCCAAGUUAAAAGUAAUUUUUUGGGGAAUGAUUUGAGGCACUUAAGCAUUUAAAGAAUAGCUGAUUAUAUUUUUGAAUUAAUAUAAGAAGAAAAUAAUCAUAAUAAAUCUAUUUUCCUUCGUGAA
Cloeon dipterum is the source of this 786-nucleotide long non-coding RNA. RefSeq lists it as uncharacterized. Lineage: Eukaryota; Metazoa; Arthropoda; Insecta; Ephemeroptera; Baetidae. The transcript has 4 exons. The record is from RefSeq and is a predicted model, not a curated record.